CGACCAGUGGCGUAGCGGUCUAACACAUUUCCGUAUAAAGGAGACGGUUGCGGGUUGGAAUCCCUCCUGGUUGG
Molecule: transfer RNA, 74 nt
Organism: Operophtera brumata (winter moth)
Lineage: Eukaryota; Metazoa; Arthropoda; Insecta; Lepidoptera; Geometridae
Rfam family: tRNA
About the family: Transfer RNA (tRNA) molecules are approximately 80 nucleotides in length. Their secondary structure includes four short double-helical elements and three loops (D, anti-codon, and T loops). Further hydrogen bonds mediate the characteristic L-shaped molecular structure. tRNAs have two regions of fundamental functional importance: the anti-codon, which is responsible for specific mRNA codon recognition, and the 3' end, to which the tRNAs corresponding amino acid is attached (by aminoacyl-tRNA synthetases). tRNAs cope with the degeneracy of the genetic code in two manners: having more than one tRNA (with a specific anti-codon) for a particular amino acid; and 'wobble' base-pairing, i.e. permitting non-standard base-pairing at the 3rd anti-codon position.
Source: Rfam